UCCGGCUUGUCACCGGCAGUUCCUUCAGAGUGCCCGGCCGAACCGCUGGCAACUGAAGGUGAGGGUUGCGCUCGUUGCGGGACUUAACCCAACAUCUCACGAUACGAGCUGACGACAGCCAUGCACCACCUGCGCUGGAUCCCGAAGGAUCACCGUGGUUCCACGACAUUCCCGUGCAUGUCAAGCCUUGGUAAGGUUCUUCGCGUCGCGUCGAAUUAAACAACAUGCUCCGCUGCUUGUGCGGGCCCCCGUCAAUUCCUUUGAGUUUUAGCCUUGCGGCCGUACUCCCCAGGCGGGGUGCUUAAUGCGUUAGCUUCGGCACGGACGGAGUCGACACCGCCCACACCUAGCACCCAUCGUUUACGGCGUGGACUAC
RNAcentral lists this unclassified non-coding RNA (376 nucleotides) under uncultured Gaiellales bacterium. RNAcentral describes it as "contains 16S-23S intergenic spacer region". The record is from RNAcentral. Lineage: Bacteria; Bacillati; Actinomycetota; Thermoleophilia; Gaiellales.